CCUACGGGUGGCAGCAGUGAGGAAUAUUGGUCAAUGGACGAGAGUCUGAACCAGCCAAGUAGCGUGAAGGAUGACUGCCCUAUGGGUUGUAAACUUCUUUUAUAUGGGAAUAAAAUGUUCCACGUGUGGGAUUUUGUAUGUACCAUAUGAAUAAGGAUCGGCUAACUCCGUGCCAGCAGCCGCGGUAAUACGGAGGAUCCGAGCGUUAUCCGGAUUUAUUGGGGUUAAAGGGAGCGUAGGUGGAUUGUUAAGUCAGGUGUGAAAGUUUGCGGCUCAACCGUAAAAUUGCAGUUGAAACUGGCAGUCUUGAGUACAGGAGAGGUGAGCGGAAUUCGUGGUGUAGCGGUGAAAUGCUUAGAUAUCGCGAAGAACUCCGAUUGCGAAGGCAGUUCACUGGACUGCAACUGACACUGAGGCUCGAAAGUGUGGGUAUCAAACAGGAUUAGAUACCCUUGUAGUC
RNAcentral lists this ribosomal RNA (460 nucleotides) under uncultured bacterium. RNAcentral describes it as "partial 16S ribosomal RNA". It matches the Rfam family "Bacterial small subunit ribosomal RNA", at positions 338 to 795 of the family's 1533-position model. The record is from RNAcentral.